This 617-nucleotide ribosomal RNA is filed under the name uncultured bacterium. RNAcentral's name for it is "bacterial SSU rRNA". The stretch from base 1 to 520 matches the Rfam family "Bacterial small subunit ribosomal RNA", at positions 338 to 873 of the family's 1533-position model. The record is from RNAcentral.
CCUACGGGAGGCAGCAGUGGGGGAAUCUUGCGCAAUGGGCGAAAGCCUGACGCAGCCAUGCCGCGUGAAUGAUGAAGGUCUUAGGAUUGUAAAAUUCUUUCACCGGGGACGAUAAUGACGGUACCCGGAGAAGAAGCCCCGGCUAACUUCGUGCCAGCAGCCGCGGUAAUACGAAGGGGGGCUAGCGUUGCUCGGAAUUACUGGGCGUAAAGGGAGCGUAGGCGGAUAGUUUAGUCAGAGGUGAAAGCCCAGGGCUCAACCUUGGAAUUGCCUUUGAUACUGGCUAUCUUGAGUAUGGGAGAGGUUAGCGGAACUCCGAGUGUAGAGGUGAAAUUCGUAGAUAUUCGGAAGAACACCAGUGGCGAAGGCGGCUAACUGGCCCAUUACUGACGCUGAGGCUCGAAAGCGUGGGGAGCAAACAGGAUUAGAUACCCUGGUAGUCCACGCCGUAAACGAUGAGUGCUAGUUGUCGGCAUGCAUGCAUGUCGGUGACGCGAGCUACGACAUAAGACACUCCGCCGUCGGGAGGUACGGUCGCGAAGAAGUUAAACGUAACUAAAUAGUUAAGUUAGUACGGCGUUGAGACGUUGCCGACGGACGACGACGAGGGGAGGAGG